GUCGGGAGUCUUGCACAAUGGGGGAAACCCUGAUGCAGCGACGUCGCGUGUGGGAUGAAGUAUUUCGGUAUGUAAACCACUUUUGCGGGGGGCGAAAAAAAUGACGGUACCCCGCGAAUAAGCCCCGGCUAACUACGUGCCAGCAGCCGCGGUAAUACGUAGGGGGCGAGCGUUGCUCGGAUUGACUGGGCGUAAAGCGCGCGUAGGCGGUCCAUUAAGUGUGCGGUGAAAUUCGGAGGCUCAACCUCCGUCCCGCCGCGCAAACUGAUGGUGUUGAGAUUGGGAGGGGGAUGCGGAAUUCCUGGUGUAGCGGUGAAAUGCAUUGAUAUCAGGAGGAACACCGGCGGCGAAAGCGGCAUCCUGGCUUAUAUCUGACGCUGAGGCGCGAAAGCGUGGGUAGCAAACGGGAUUAGAUACCCCUGUAGUCC
This 428-nucleotide ribosomal RNA is filed under the name uncultured bacterium. Its description in RNAcentral is "partial 16S ribosomal RNA". It matches the Rfam family "Bacterial small subunit ribosomal RNA", at positions 354 to 796 of the family's 1533-position model. The record is from RNAcentral.